This 497-nucleotide ribosomal RNA is filed under the name uncultured bacterium. RNAcentral's name for it is "partial 16S ribosomal RNA". It matches the Rfam family "Bacterial small subunit ribosomal RNA", at positions 28 to 507 of the family's 1533-position model. The record is from RNAcentral.
GAUGAACGCUGGCGGCGUGCCUAAUACAUGCAAGUCGAGCGAACGGACGAGAAGCUUGCUUUUCUGAUGUUAGCGGCUGACGGGUGAGUAACACGUGGAUAACCUACCUAUAAGACUGGGAUAACUUCGGGAAACCGGAGCUAAUACCGGAUAAUAUUUCGAACCGCAUGGUUCAAAAGUGAAAGACGGUCUUGCUGUCACUUAUAGAUGGAUCCGCGCUGCAUUAGCUAGUUGGUAAGGUAACGGCUUACCAAGGCAACGAUGCAUAGCCGAUCUGAGAGGGUGAUCGGCCACACUGGAACUGAGACACGGUCCAGACUCCUACGGGAGGCAGCAGUAGGGAAUAUUCCGCAAUGGGCGCAAGCCUGACGGAGCAACGCCGCGUGAGUGAUGAAGGUCUUCGGGUCGUAAAACUCUGUUAUUAGGGAAGAACAUAUGUGUAAGUAACUGUGCCCAUCUUGACGGUACCUAAUCAGAAAGCCACGGCUAACUACGUG